This 274-nucleotide non-coding RNA is filed under the name Homo sapiens (human). Lineage: Eukaryota; Metazoa; Chordata; Mammalia; Primates; Hominidae. The record is from Rfam by way of RNAcentral.
GCCAGGCGUGGUGGCGGGCGCCUUUAAUCCCAGCUACUUGGGAGGCUGAGGCAGGAGAAUCGCUUGAACCCAGGAGGCAGAGAUUGCAGUGAGCCAAGAUCGUGCCACUGCACUCAAAAAAAAAAAAAAAAAAAAAAAGUAGGUAUUACUAUAAUAUCUUUUUUUUUUUUUUUUGAGAUGGAAUCUCGCAGUCACCCAGGCUGGAGUGCAGUGGGGCGAUCUCAGCUCACUGCAACCUCUGCCUCCCGGGUUCAUGUGAUUCUCCUUGCCUCAG